This 84-nucleotide non-coding RNA is filed under the name Vibrio aerogenes. Lineage: Bacteria; Pseudomonadati; Pseudomonadota; Gammaproteobacteria; Vibrionales; Vibrionaceae. RNAcentral also lists the same sequence under 1 other name. The record is from RNAcentral.
AAUUUUGGUGAGCUGGCAGGGGCGCUUCGGCGCGCCGUGUCCUGUUGAGCGGUAGUUCCUAACCCUGUCCAGUUCACCACCCGA